GACGAACGCUGUGCGGCGUGCUUAACACAUGCAAGUCGAACGGAAAGGCCCUGCUUUUGUGGGGUGCUCGAGUGGCGAACGGGUGAGUAACACGUGAGUAACCUGCCCUUGACUUUGGGAUAACUUCAGGAAACUGGGGCUAAUACCGGAUAGGAGCUCCUGCUGCAUGGUGGGGGUUGGAAAGUUUCGGUGGUUGGGGAUGGACUCGCGGCUUAUCAGCUUGUUGGUGGGGUAGUGGCUUACCAAGGCUUUGACGGGUAGCCGGCCCGAGAGGGUGACCGGCCACAUUGGGACUGAGAUACGGCCCAGACUCCUACGGGAGGCAGCAGUGGGGAAUAUUGCACAAUGGGCGGAAGCCUGAUGCAGCAACGCCGCGUGCGGGAUGACGGCCUUCGGGUUGUAAACCGCUUUCGCCUGUGACGAAGCGUGAGUGACGGUAAUGGGUAAAGAAGCACCGGCUAACUACGUGCCAGCAGCCGCGGUGAUACGUAGGGUGCGAGCGUUGUCCGGAUUUAUUGGGCGUAAAGGGUUCGUAGGUGGUUGAUCGCGUCGGAAGUGUAAUCUUGGGGCUUAACCCUGAGCGUGCUUUCGAUACGGGUUGACUUGAGGAAGGUAGGGGAGAAUGGAAUUCCUGGUGGAGCGGUGGAAUGCGCAGAUAUCAGGAGGAACACCAGUGGCGAAGGCGGUUCUCUGGGCCUUUCCUGACGCUGAGGAGCGAAAGCGUGGGGAGCGAACAGGCUUAGAUACCCUGGUAGUCCACGCUGUAAACGGUGGGUACUAGGUGUGGGGUCCAUUCCACGGGUUCCGUGCCGUAGCUAACGCUUUAAGUACCCCGCCUGGGGAGUACGGCCGCAAGGCUAAAACUCAAAGGAAUUGACGGGGCCCCGCACAAGCGGCGGAGCAUGCGGAUUAAUUCGAUGCAACGCGUAGAACCUUACCUGGGUUUGACAUGGAUCGGGAGUGCUCAGAGAUGGGUGUGCCUCUUUUGGGGUCGGUUCACAGGUGGUGCAUGGCUGUCGUCAGCUCGUGUCGUGAGAUGUUGGGUUAAGUCCCGCAACGAGCGCAACCCUUGUUCACUGUUGCCAGCACGUUAUGGUGGGGACUCAGUGGAGACCGCCGGGGUCAACUCGGAGGAAGGUGGGGAUGACGUCAAGUCAUCAUGCCCCUUAUGUCCAGGGCUUCACGCAUGCUACAAUGGCUGGUACAGAGAGUGGCGAGCCUGUGAGGGUGAGCGAAUCUCGGAAAGCCGGUCUCAGUUCGGAUUGGGGUCUGCAACUCGACCUCAUGAAGUCGGAGUCGCUAGUAAUCGCAGAUCAGCAACGCUGCGGUGAAUACGUUCCCGGGGCU
RNAcentral lists this ribosomal RNA (1347 nucleotides) under uncultured bacterium. RNAcentral's name for it is "partial 16S ribosomal RNA". It matches the Rfam family "Bacterial small subunit ribosomal RNA", at positions 28 to 1381 of the family's 1533-position model. The record is from RNAcentral.